This 2198-nucleotide long non-coding RNA is filed under the name Homo sapiens (human). RNAcentral's name for it is "HSALNT0210665". Lineage: Eukaryota; Metazoa; Chordata; Mammalia; Primates; Hominidae. The record is from RNAcentral.
CUAAAUUAUCAUACAAUCAGAUUAAGUUGGUGGAACUAAAACAGGGCGCAUUACCUCAAACAGCCAGCAUUUACAAGAACCAAAUUGAUUUUUUUUUCUUACAAAAGUCAGGCAACUUCCAAAUUAAGUCACUUUUUACCAUAUACCCUGGAGAAUAACAUGGCCCGACACACCACACGUCCCACUUAUCUAGUUCAAGCGAGUAACAUAACGUGAGAAACUGCACUGUGUAAUUCCUUUAUUUUCUGCAUAUUAGUGCUUUACCAACACUACAACCAUAAAGAACACAAUUCCAAGUACUGUACUUUUUAGUUUGGGGAGAUCACAGUCUACAGACUCAUUUACUUAUAUUAAACAAGAUUAACCUCAUUCAAAACUUACUGCAGUUUAUAAAUUCACAUAAAUACAGAAAUGGAUGCAAUUAAACAACUUCAGGAUCUUAUUUUUAAAAUUCUUAGAUAAUUUUUUCUGCAGGCUAUAAUUACCUGCUCCAGUCACCAAUGGUUAUUGUUCAAUUUAACUACAUCAAUUAUAAACCUCUUAUAUCCUUAAAGAAAAUUUUAAGUGAAAAUUACAAUUUCUUACCAAAAGGUUUAGGGUUUUCCAAAUUUCAAAUAUUUGCUUCCCCCUCCCCCCUUUCCAGUCAAACAUUUCAAAUAAACUAAAAAUAACCACAUCUCACCUGCAACAUUCAAUAAUAGCAAUCACUUGAUGUAUAAAAUUUUAACUAUGCCCCCAGUUAUUUUAAGACACAAAAAAAUGGCUGCCUACCAAUCUGUCUUCACAAGUUAGAAAUACUACAUUUAAGAUUUAACAUGAGGGUUUCAAGUUUCCUCCAGUUUAGGCAUUUAUACCUUUGUGCUUGUUUUGUUUCAGGAUGUUACUAUAGCAUUGAUAUUGGAUAACCCAUAUUUAUAUACUUUAAAAUGCAAUCAUUUGAAACACUAAAAAUUACAUUUAUGGUGGAGCUUUGGAAAUUUUAGAAAGCAACCAGUGUUCUUAGAUGUGUUUAUCAGCCUCAUUUCUAGAGCUCUUUCUACUAAAGUGAAACUGAGAACUUCGUACUUUAGUUGUAUCCUGAAAUCAAAAAAAUCCCUCUGCACCAACAGGAGCCUACAUGAGAAUACCCUUUUGCAUCUGCUUUAAGUAAAAUGUUUGUUAAGAGUUUUACUUUGAAUAGUUCAUUUUUUUAUAGUCUUACACUUCUCAUACAUCUUUGGUAAAAGCUCCAUUAUACAAUAUGGCCAAAGUGUGAAGGACCAAUACUGUCCAACUAUACCAUGAUAUCCCGCUCAAUUUUAGUUUUCAGACACCCUCAUAAACAAAACCCACUCCACCUUUUCCUGUAUACUGCCUUUGCAGUCUACAUUUCUGAAAUUCCCUAUUUAAUUCCUUGAGGAUCACUAAAAUUAAUCCUUAAGGCUAUAUAGGAACCAGAUGCUGCUUUACAAUUCUGCAUCAAGCAUUAACAUUUGGUUCAAAAUAUUAUCAUAGUGGUCGCAAUCCAGUUACUGGUCCUAACCAGCUAACCAAGUAAUCUUGUUAGGAUCUGGAUAUCACCAGCGAGCACACUGCUUACACAUGAAGAAAAAUAAGUUUACAUUCAUUGUCAUCUGUAGGUUCUUUCUCUUCAUCCUACGUCCCCUUUAAUAGUCAUCCCUCAAGUCUACACAUCAUUCAUUCAUCACGCUUCCUUCCUUAAAGGAGACAGUGUACUAUUGAACCAACAGGAUAUCUUUUUUAUUAUUUGCAUGAGUUAAUCCUACAAACAAAAUUAAAUACCUCUUUUAUAAAACAUCUUUUCCAGUGUUCUAAUUGAUGGAGAUGCGGAUCACUCAUCUAUAAAAAAUGACUUACAGCUUCAGCUUAAUCAGUUGCUAUAAUGUGAAAACAGGAAUGUGUAUUUUUUUCAACUAGGUAAAAGGUGCAUAUAAUUUGAAUUGUUAAAUGUUUUAUUAAUGAACAAAGUAAACCUUUUAGUAAUUUUUAAAUUACUGGUCUUAGGUGUUUGAAACAAGGUAAAAGUAUACUGGUCUUAGAUAUAAAAGGUCACAUUUGAAAUUACUAAGUUAGAACUCAUAAGGAAGGGGGGGGAAGGCCUUAAAUAUAAAAGACAAACGGCAGUUUGAUUAAGCAAUAAUUUUCAGUUUACUAGAUGAAACAGACUUGCAACAUAGUCUGCAUGAAUGCAAAAUAAG